CAGUCGCCACGGUAAUACGGAGGAUCCGAGCGUUAUCCGGAAUUAUUGGGUUUAAAGGGUGCGUAGGCGGAUAGAUAAGUCAGUGGUGAAAGACGGUGGCUCAACCAUCGCAGUGCCGUUGAUACUGUUUAUCUUGAAUAUGGAUGAGGUAGGCGGAAUGUGGCAAGUAGCGGUGAAAUGCAUAGAUAUGCCACAGAACACCGAUUGCGAAGGCAGCUUACCAAGGCAAAAUUGACGCUGAGGCACGAAAGCGUGGGGAUCGAACAGGAUUAGAUACCCGCGUAGUCCCUGUCUCUUAUAA
Molecule: ribosomal RNA, 301 nt
Filed under: uncultured bacterium
Lineage: Bacteria
Description: partial 16S ribosomal RNA
Rfam family: Bacterial small subunit ribosomal RNA
Source: RNAcentral